Molecule: long non-coding RNA, 2435 nt
Organism: Ailuropoda melanoleuca (giant panda)
Lineage: Eukaryota; Metazoa; Chordata; Mammalia; Carnivora; Ursidae
Exons: 7
Source: RefSeq, a predicted model, not a curated record
AUGGGGACGGGAGGUGAAGGAAGAGAAAGAAGAGAAGGGGGGAAAAGAGAGAUGGAAAAAGACAAAAAGGGAAAGAACUAGAAGGAUCUAGAGUAGAGAGUGAAUAUUUAUUACACUUUAGUGUUGGUAGCUCCCAGAUAAAGACCUUUCACAUAUAUGGCCUCAAAUGUUACAGAGGCUUGGGAAGCAAACUUCCCCUCUUCAGUUUGCAGAUGGAGAAAGAGAAGGUCCUGGAAGUUGCCUCUACGGUCCAGUACUUAGUGGGUGAACAAUAGGGACACACAGGUGCAUGUCCCGCGGUGGAUGACUAAGAGUAAGAAAGAAAAUCUGAGGACGGAAAGGCAGAAAAGGAAGUAGCAUGUUUGUUGGAAGCUGGGAGCCUGCCACCAACCAUUGCCCAGACGCCAAAGGGCAAUGGGCUGUUGGCCGACUUCCUGUGUUCUUAUGAUUAGCCCCUAUGAACAGCCACCACAGCUCAGCUUCCCUAAUUCAGUGUAGGUCUUGAUGCCAUUGGUUGGAUCGUACAGCAAAACUUUGUUUCAGAGACUCUUUAGGUUAAAAUACACAGUGGAAACCGCAAAGGGCGUGGGCAGCGUGCUGGGUCUCACACAGCCUUUCGGGAUUCGGCAGCAGGAGGACAGUCAGGGUCCUCUGAAGGCAUUUCCCACGACAAAUGGACAUCAAGAAGUGCUAUCCUUCUCUUCUGCCAAAGGGCAUACUGGGCAUGGUUCCUAAUAUUGACGUGGAACGAAAAGUGAGUUUGCAAAUUACUUAAUGUGAGAAGUCUCAGAAUGAGAGGCGGAGGGAGGAAAUGGAAGGAGUGCACCAACUCCUUAUCAGGAAGAAAAUCACUUGCCAGAGGCCCCUGACCAGACUCCCUUAUAUUUCGUUGGCUGGAACUGGAACACGUGGGCACUCUUAGCUCAGAGGAAGACUGAGAAAGAAUUUGAUCGUGGUCACGUAACCCUGGACUCCAAUUGAGGGGAGUUCAACUUCAGCCUAAGUUAAAUCUCCCAAGGCCUCGAUGGACUCUGCUCCCUCCAGAGCUCCCCUCGGGUCCCCAGCCUGAACGCAUCUCCUCACAGGACCAAAGCUCUGAGUUUUUAAAGAUGCUGUUGAUCAACUGCAGAAGGCAGGCAAGGAGAGGGCAGACCGAAGACGUUUCUUCUUAAAUUUGGAACAUGCGGCAACUGCUUUAUGAAGAAAACUUUUAAGAGAUUCCUUCCAGCAAGUCAAGAUGAGUUAAGCACUUACGGCCUCCCACAGCAGUCUCGCCCUCAUCUCUAUGGUGCUGGGCUGUAUUUACCCAAGACGAAGAAUAAGCAGCUUCCGAGGGGCUGUCUACGUGGCUGGAGAGCAAUCUGGAAAUGGGCAUUAUUUUCUUCUCACUGAGGCAAAGAGUAGAUCUGUUGCAAUGAACACUCCGGCAGGAAUACUCACACGGGGAGCCGGAAACACAUUUAACAGCUCUCCACAGUCUGGCCAGGAAGCUUCCCGCACCGAUCCGUACUCCCCUAGCACCUGGGGCCUACGAAGCACUUUCCCAAGUUCCAUGUCAUUUGAUCCCCAAAACAACUCUCAGACCAGACGGGACAAUUAUAAAAGUCUCUUCUUCACAGUUACAAAAUCUGAGGCUCAGAGAAGAGAAAUGAAACUAAGUCACUCUGAAUCACACCCCAAACCCACAUUACUUCCUUCUGUAGAUUUAGCUGAUGCAUGAUAAACAGCUCCUUAAUGUCAAUAUUGGUCUCUUUGUGGGGCUGGGGCCUGAGCGUUAGCCACGACCAGGACCAGCAUGCUGGGCCUACAAUGGAAAGAGCCAAUUUCUUAAUGGCAGUGAUUAUAUUUUUCAGUUUUGCCAUAAAUAUAAAAAAUGAAACAAACACUUCCAUCACAAGCAUAAUCAAAAGACAGACCAAGGAGUUUUGAAGUCAGUGGAAACUGUGAGGCUGGACAGAAUGGGACGGGAGCGGAUAAGCCUCUCUGGAUAUCCAGACUUCAAAUAAUCUAACACUGGAAGGAGGGAGAGCCAACUAAUUAAUGCAGAAGGAAUACGAGAGCUAGAAAACCACCGGUUUGCAACCAUGACUGCCUUAAUCGAUUCAGGCAAGAAUUAUCAAUGGAUAUUAAAGCCAUCAAGUAAAGUCUGAUGAACAGAAUAAUUACACAGUGUCUAAGUAACACUAUCCCCAGGUGACUUGCUAAUGAAAAGGAAAAAGCCUUUAGAAAUAGAAUAUAUAUUUAUAUACAUAAACACAUAAAGAUUUCUAUAGAUAAAUCUUUGUAAUUUAACUUCAUAGUAGAGAAACCUGGCAAACACCCCCCCCCAAGUGAUCAAAAUGAAUAUCACCAACAAUGGGACAAACUGACAUCAAGAGGUUCUUGACAUGAUGUACUGAGGAAGACAAAUCCUGUCUGUGGAAUUCCUGCCACAA